RNAcentral lists this ribosomal RNA (240 nucleotides) under uncultured bacterium. RNAcentral describes it as "partial 16S ribosomal RNA". It matches the Rfam family "Bacterial small subunit ribosomal RNA", at positions 524 to 765 of the family's 1533-position model. The record is from RNAcentral.
UACGUAGGGGGCGAGCGUUUGUCCGGAAUCAUUGGGCGUAAAGCGCGUGUAGGCGGCUCGAUAAGUCCGGUGUGAAACCUUGGGCUCAACCCAAGCCUGCACUGGAUACUGCCGAGCUAGAGUCCGGGAGGGGAGAGCGGAAUUCCUAGUGUAGCGGUGAAAUGCGCAGAUAUUAGGAAGAACACCGGUGGCGAAGGCGGCUCUCUGGAACGGUACUGACGCUGAGACGCGAAGCGUGGG